CCUACGGGUGGCAGCAGUCGAGAAUCAUUCACAAUGGGGGAAACCCUGAUGGUGCGACGCCGCGUGGGGGAAUGAAGGUCUUCGGAUUGUAAACCCCUGUCAUGUGGGAGCAAAUUAACAAGAUAGUACCACAAGAGGAAGAGACGGCUAACUCUGUGCCAGCAGCCGCGGUAAUACAGAGGUCUCAAGCGUUGUUCGGAAUCACUGGGCGUAAAGCGUGCGUAGGCUGUUUCGUAAGUCGUGUGUGAAAGGCGCGGGCUCAACCCGCGGACGGCACAUGAUACUGCGAGACUAGAGUAAGGGAGGGGGAACCGGAAUUCUCGGUGUAGCAGUGAAAUGCGUAGAUAUCGAGAGGAACACUCGUGGCGAAGGCGGGUUCCUGGACAUUAACUGACGCUGAGGCACGAAGGCCAGGGGAGCGAAAGGGAUUAGAUACCCGGGUAGUC
RNAcentral lists this ribosomal RNA (446 nucleotides) under uncultured bacterium. Its description in RNAcentral is "partial 16S ribosomal RNA". It matches the Rfam family "Bacterial small subunit ribosomal RNA", at positions 338 to 795 of the family's 1533-position model. The record is from RNAcentral.